Molecule: ribosomal RNA, 465 nt
Filed under: Vreelandella stevensii
Lineage: Bacteria; Pseudomonadati; Pseudomonadota; Gammaproteobacteria; Oceanospirillales; Halomonadaceae
Description: partial 16S ribosomal RNA
Rfam family: Bacterial small subunit ribosomal RNA
Source: RNAcentral
CCUACGGGAGGCUGCAGUGGGGAAUAUUGGACAAUGGGGGCAACCCUGAUCCAGCCAUGCCGCGUGUGUGAAGAAGGCCCUCGGGUUGUAAAGCACUUUCAGUGAGGAAGAACGCCUGGUGGUUAAUACCCAUCAGGAAAGACAUCACUCACAGAAGAAGCACCGGCUAACUCCGUGCCAGCAGCCGCGGUAAUACGGAGGGUGCGAGCGUUAAUCGGAAUUACUGGGCGUAAAGCGCGCGUAGGUGGCUUGAUAAGCCGGUUGUGAAAGCCCCGGGCUCAACCUGGGAACGGCAUCCGGAACUGUCAAGCUAGAGUGCAGGAGAGGAAGGUAGAAUUCCCGGUGUAGCGGUGAAAUGCGUAGAGAUCGGGAGGAAUACCAGUGGCGAAGGCGGCCUUCUGGACUGACACUGACACUGAGGUGCGAAAGCGUGGGUAGCAAACAGGAUUAGAUACCCCGGUAGUA